CCUCGCUCCUCCUAUCCCGUACGUAAUACCCAACUCCUGCACCGAACGACCCUUAGCACUACACCGUACACUCACACAACGAAGGCAAAGCAUCAAUUCAUUGGUUAAAAGGCUCCUGGCACAGGCGCCAAUCUUCGAGCCACCUGAUUAUUAUUUACGCGCAACCACAGCCUCCCGGGCGCACCUUUCCGCCCGUUUGACGCAAAGAUAGAAUGAGAUUUGCAGAGUAGCAAACGUCGAUCGCGUACUGGUAGACGGCGUGGGCACCAUCGACGCGGCUGGGGCGUCAACAGAUAGACGGCGCCGCAGAGGAUAGAAACGACCCAGCGAAAUGCGAAGCGCCAGCCGAAAGGAAAGGAGAUGGAGCCGAGGGCAUGUCGCUAGGCGCAACAGUCCCAGUGGAUGGAGGAACCACAGAUCCCUAAUCACUUCAGCCAGCCGGGCGAUCUUUUCACAACAGACACAAACACGAACAUUCACUACCUCUGAUAUAUCAUCCGCACAAGAGGCGCGGCGACUACUAGUAUCGCUACGCUUCACACUCUUGGUGGCGCAGCGCUCACAUGCCGUAUUGGGACCCUGCGCGAAACAGACCUCCCCUAACGUCACACAGCACCGGUAAAAUCUCAAGGCUCGAGCGCACUGGAGCGCUUCCAGAUACUGGCGUCGCCGCUCAAGCCACUUCCUCGAUACGAACCAUCAGCAACUCACAAAAGAACAGCUUGGAGAAACAGAGAACUCACCUGACAGCUUACUUUAGAGCGCUAGCUGGACUCGUCCCCGGCCCCAUUGUUGUUGUCUUGUUAGAUCUGAGAUGGCUGAGGUAAUUCUGUUAAGAUAUAUCGCUUGCUGCCCACAAAAUAAGACUUUCCCGCCUUGGUGUUUGCAAAAUCCGGGGAGCCUGGAGAGAGGAGCGCCAUUGGGUGCUUAUUAAGAGCAGAUCAUUGUACAGUACUGGUACAAUAGUAAAAUUGUAUCCUUGAUAACGAAGGACGGAAUAAAUCAGACAGAUCGCUGGGAGAUAAGGAAACGUGCGGCUAAUGAUAAUAAUGCUUGUCCUAGAUGACAGCCUCCAGCCUCAGCACUGCCCGCCCGUCUGAGGUGGUGGAGUUCGUUAGAGAGAGUUAAGGAGGCUACAUACAUAUUGCUCGUGUUUACAUUAUUUUAUUUAGUGUGCGAUGUACUGUUACACUACG
This 1196-nucleotide small RNA is filed under the name Cryptococcus neoformans H99. RNAcentral describes it as "Cryptococcus neoformans var. grubii H99 hypothetical RNA". The record is from RNAcentral. Lineage: Eukaryota; Fungi; Basidiomycota; Tremellomycetes; Tremellales; Cryptococcaceae.